UACGUAGGGUGCGAGCGUUGUCCGGAAUUAUUGGGCGUAAAGAGCUUGUAGGCGGUUUGUCGCGUCUGCUGUGAAAAACGCGAGGCUCAACCUCGCGCCUGCAGUGGGUACGGGCAGACUAGGAGUGCGGUAGGGGGAGAUUGGAAUUCCUGGUGUAGCGGUGGAAUGCGCAGAUAUCAGGAGGAACACCGAUGGCGAAGGCAGAU
RNAcentral lists this ribosomal RNA (206 nucleotides) under uncultured bacterium. RNAcentral's name for it is "partial 16S ribosomal RNA". It matches the Rfam family "Bacterial small subunit ribosomal RNA", at positions 524 to 726 of the family's 1533-position model. The record is from RNAcentral.